Molecule: ribosomal RNA, 461 nt
Filed under: uncultured Sphingobacteriales bacterium
Lineage: Bacteria; Pseudomonadati; Bacteroidota; Sphingobacteriia; Sphingobacteriales
Description: bacterial SSU rRNA
Rfam family: Bacterial small subunit ribosomal RNA
Source: RNAcentral
CCCGCACAAGCGGAGGAGCAUGUGGUUUAAUUCGAUGAUACGCGAGGAACCUUACCUGGGCUCGAACGUAAGAUGACUGUAGGUGAAAGCUUACAUCUCUUCGGAGCAUUUUACGAGGUGCUGCAUGGUUGUCGUCAGCUCGUGCCGUGAGGUGUCGGGUUAAGUCCCAUAACGAGCGCAACCCUACCUUUAGUUGCCAUCAGGUAAUGCUGGGGACUCUAAAGGAACUGCCUACGCAAGUAGUGAGGAAGGCGGGGAUGACGUCAAAUCAGCACGGCCCUUACGUCCAGGGCUACACACGUGCUACAAUGGCCGAUACAGAGGGCAGCUACCUGGUGACAGGAUGCAAAUCUCCAAAGUCGGUCUCAGCUCGGAUCGGAGUCUGCAACCCGACUCCGUGAAGUUGGAUUCGCUAGUAAUCGCGCAUCAGCCAUGGCGCGGUGAAUACGUUCCCGGGCCUU